UGGUACUGAUGGUUCUGGUGGCGCUGAUGAUGCUAAUGAUGAUGAUGAUGAUGAUGAUGGUGAUGAUGAUGGUGAUGAUGAUGGUUCCGGUUCUGAGGCCGGUAGUGAAGAGAGUUCUGAGUCCUAUGAGGACUAAGUUUUUUUUAUGCUUUUUUUAUGUUAUGUUUUAUUUUCUUGUAUUUUCAGAUAUUUGGUAUUUUGGUUAUGUACUUU
RNAcentral lists this long non-coding RNA (213 nucleotides) under Lathyrus oleraceus (garden pea). Its description in RNAcentral is "Pisum sativum (pea) long non-coding RNA (PSAT_LNC010778)". Lineage: Eukaryota; Viridiplantae; Streptophyta; Magnoliopsida; Fabales; Fabaceae. The record is from RNAcentral.